GCAUUAGUAGCUCAAUAUUAGAGCGUCGGUUUUGUAAACCGGAAGUUGAAGGUUAAACUCCUCCCCAAUGCU
RNAcentral lists this transfer RNA (72 nucleotides) under Hippocampus nalu. Its description in RNAcentral is "tRNA-Thr". It matches the Rfam family "tRNA". Rfam says of the family: Transfer RNA (tRNA) molecules are approximately 80 nucleotides in length. Their secondary structure includes four short double-helical elements and three loops (D, anti-codon, and T loops). The record is from RNAcentral. Lineage: Eukaryota; Metazoa; Chordata; Actinopteri; Syngnathiformes; Syngnathidae.